CGUGCCUUAGAGUCCUUGAUCAAGUGUAGGGAGUUUGGAUGGGUGAGGUCCGAGCAUACAUUAUAAAUUCAGGAUGAACUCUACAAUGCUAGAGAAGAAAUUUCAAAGUUGUAAAAGGUGUUGGAUAGCAAAAAGAUAGUCGCCGCUCCCAAGGAUGUAUAACAGUGAGAUAUCCAAGUGACUACUCCCAUCACCAUCGUCAGCUCAGGAGAGUCUCUUCCAGUUACCUACGACUAUAGGUCCCGAUCGGAAGAGCAAGAACCAAUAGGUCGAUCUUCGAUGGGAGGAGAAAGAGCUGCUUCUUCCCAACCCAAUGAACAGCUAAUAGAUAGUUCUCGAUUGAUGAUCCAUAUGACCUUUGCUGGCGGAUGUCAUUCUGGUUAUAGCCUUUGUCAGAAUGUAGUUCGAGUUUUAUACUCAAAACUUGAUCUGUCCGAGCUUCUUAAUCCUGAUAUGGACAUGGA
This 464-nucleotide long non-coding RNA is filed under the name Elaeis guineensis (African oil palm). RNAcentral describes it as "long non-coding RNA (EGUI_LNC036731)". The record is from RNAcentral. Lineage: Eukaryota; Viridiplantae; Streptophyta; Magnoliopsida; Arecales; Arecaceae.